Molecule: ribosomal RNA, 859 nt
Filed under: uncultured bacterium
Lineage: Bacteria
Description: bacterial SSU rRNA
Rfam family: Bacterial small subunit ribosomal RNA
Source: RNAcentral
UGCAGUCGACGCGGUACACUUUCGGGUGUGCCGAGUGGCGCACGGGUGCGUAACACGUAGGCAACCUGCCCUCGAGUGGGGAAUAACCUCGGGAAACCGGGGCUAAUACCGCAUACGGUCAGAGAGAGGCAUCUCUUUUUGAUCAAAGCUAUAAGCGCUUGAGGAUGGGCCUGCGGCGGAUUAGGUAGAUGGUGGGGUAACGGCCUACCAUGCCUGUGAUCCGUAGCUGGUCUGAGAGGAUGAUCAGCCACACUGGCACUGAGACACGGGCCAGACUCCUACGGGAGGCAGCAGUGAGGAAUCUUGCGCAAUGGGGGAAACCCUGACGCAGCCACGCCGCGUGGAGGAUGAAGGUCCUAUGGAUCGUAAACUCCUUUUCUGAGGGAAGAAGACUCAUCGAUCGAUGGGCGUGACGGUACCUCACGAAUAAGCACCGGCUAACUCCGUGCCAGCAGCCGCGGUAAUACGGAGGGUGCAAGCGUUGUCCGGAAUCACUGGGUGUAAAGGGUGUGUAGGCGGGCUGGUGAGUCAGAGGUGAAAGUCAGCGGCUCAACCGUUGGAUUGCCUUUGAUACUGCCAGUCUUGAGUACCGGAGGAGUCACUGGAAUUCGUGGUGUAGCGAUGAAGUGCGUAGAUAUCACGAGGAACACCGGAAGUGUAGACGGGUGACUGGACGGAGACUGACGCUCAGGCACCAAUGCGUGCGGAGCGUACAUGAUUAGAUACCCUGGUAGUCCACGCUGUAAUCGAUGGAUGCUCGAUGAUGCCCUGGUACUAGAGGCAGUGCCUAAAUUAACCCGAUAACCAUCACACCUUGGGAGUACGCUGCGCAGAUUGCAACUCAGAUGACUUGACUGGG